This 178-nucleotide ribosomal RNA is filed under the name Bacillus cereus. Its description in RNAcentral is "partial 16S ribosomal RNA". It matches the Rfam family "Bacterial small subunit ribosomal RNA", at positions 1 to 172 of the family's 1533-position model. The record is from RNAcentral. Lineage: Bacteria; Bacillati; Bacillota; Bacilli; Caryophanales; Bacillaceae. RNAcentral also lists the same sequence under 1 other name.
UUUAUUGGAGAGUUUGAUCCUGGCUCAGGAUGAACGCUGGCGGCGUGCCUAAUACAUGCAAGUCGAGCGAAUGGAUUAAGAGCUUGCUCUUAUGAAGUUAGCGGCGGACGGGUGAGUAACACGUGGGUAACCUGCCCAUAAGACUGGGAUAACUCCGGGAAACCGGGGCUAAUACCGG